UCCGGUUUGUCACCGGCAGUCUCAUUAGAGUGCUCAACUGAAUGUAGCAACUAAUGACAAGGGUUGCGCUCGUUGCGGGACUUAACCCAACAUCUCACGACACGAGCUGACGACAGCCAUGCAGCACCUGUGUUCAGGUUCCCUUUCGGGCACCCCUGCAUUUCUGCAGGGUUCCUGACAUGUCAAGGGUAGGUAAGGUGGGGAUGACGUGGGUCAGUCAA
This 221-nucleotide unclassified non-coding RNA is filed under the name uncultured Gammaproteobacteria bacterium. RNAcentral's name for it is "contains 16S-23S intergenic spacer region". Lineage: Bacteria; Pseudomonadati; Pseudomonadota; Gammaproteobacteria. The record is from RNAcentral.